AGUGAACGCUGGCGGUAGGCCUAACACAUGCAAGUCGAACGGCAGCACAGUAAGAGCUUGCUCUUACGGGUGGCGAGUGGCGGACGGGUGAGGAAUACAUCGGAAUCUACUUUUUCGUGGGGGAUAACGUAGGGAAACUUACGCUAAUACCGCAUACGACCUACGGGUGAAAGCAGGGGAUCUUCGGACCUUGCGCGAUUGAAUGAGCCGAUGUCGGAUUAGCUAGUUGGCGGGGUAAAGGCCCACCAAGGCGACGAUCCGUAGCUGGUCUGAGAGGAUGAUCAGCCACACUGGAACUGAGACACGGUCCAGGCUCCUACGGGAGGCAGCAGUGGGGAAUAUUGGACAAUGGGCGCAAGCCUGAUCCAGCCAUACCGCGUGGGUGAAGAAGGCCUUCGGGUUGUAAAGCCCUUUUGUUGGGAAAGAAAAGCAGCAGGUUAAUACCCCGCUGUUCUGACGGUACCCAAAGAAUAAGCACCGGCUAACGUCGUG
RNAcentral lists this ribosomal RNA (492 nucleotides) under uncultured bacterium. RNAcentral describes it as "partial 16S ribosomal RNA". It matches the Rfam family "Bacterial small subunit ribosomal RNA", at positions 29 to 507 of the family's 1533-position model. The record is from RNAcentral.